RNAcentral lists this ribosomal RNA (301 nucleotides) under uncultured bacterium. RNAcentral's name for it is "partial 16S ribosomal RNA". It matches the Rfam family "Bacterial small subunit ribosomal RNA", at positions 509 to 807 of the family's 1533-position model. The record is from RNAcentral.
CAGCAGCCGCGGGAAAACGGAGGGUGCAAGCGUUAAUCGGAAUUACUGGGCGUAAAGCGUGCGUAGGCGGGUCUUUAAGUCAGGGGUGAAAUCCUGGAGCUCAACUCCAGAACUGCCUUUGAUACUGAGGAUCUUGAGUAUGGGAGAGGUGAGUGGAACUGCGAGUGUAGAGGUGAAAUUCGUAGAUAUUCGCAAGAACACCAGUGGCGAAGGCGGCUCACUGGCCCAUUACUGACGCUGAGAUGCGAAAGCGUGGGGAGCAAACAGGAUUAGAUACCCCGGUAGUCCCUGUCUCUUAUAC